Molecule: small RNA, 531 nt
Filed under: Histoplasma capsulatum var. duboisii H88
Lineage: Eukaryota; Fungi; Ascomycota; Eurotiomycetes; Onygenales; Ajellomycetaceae
Description: Histoplasma capsulatum H88 hypothetical RNA
Source: RNAcentral
GAAAGUCCGGCUUCGCAAGCCGAAGGCGAUGAUUAAAAACUACGACAUCAACAGGGGCCACUCCCCCGUCUCAUGGAACUGCCGCUCGAACUGCGGAUGCUCAAUUGGGAAGACGCAUUACCCAAGUAGUGUGACUUUCACAAAUGAGUGAAUUAGCUCUAAGUCCUGGAGAGUGUUGCCUUCAAUGAAAUCCAUGUCGAAAUACCAUUGGCAUCCAAAAAAUGGUGUCUUGCGUCUUGCGUCUUGAUAUUGAGAGCUUGAUGAACUCACCCCUUUCAAAGACCCAGGAUUGAUUGAUAGCUUUUUUGUGGGCUAGCUUCAUGAUGUCUGCCUCACAUGGCCGUCAAGCUUUCACCCAGCUCCUUUACACACGAAUGUGUGGGAGAGAGGCGCACAAUGCGCGUUGCCUAGUAGUCGUGGAUGAACAUGCUACGAUCAAAUGAGGUUAAUAGCGUGAUUACCAGCUACCCUGGUUGAUCUGGCGGCGGGAGCGCGCUAAAUUUAACAUCUUGUUAACUAACGCUAGUGGGA